This 336-nucleotide unclassified non-coding RNA is filed under the name soil metagenome. RNAcentral describes it as "partial contains 5.8S ribosomal RNA, internal transcribed spacer 2, and large subunit ribosomal RNA". The stretch from base 1 to 120 matches the Rfam family "5.8S ribosomal RNA", at positions 35 to 154 of the family's 154-position model. The record is from RNAcentral.
GAUGAAGAACGUAGUGAAAUGCGAUAAGUAGUGUGAAUUGCAGAAUUCAGUGAAUCAUCGAAUCUUUGAACGCACAUUGCGCCCGCCAGUAUUCUGGCGGGCAUGCCUGUUCGAGCGUCAUUUCAACCAUCAAGCCCCCGGCUUGUGUUGGGGACCUGCGGCUGCCGCAGGCCCUGAAAAGCAGUGGCGGGCUCGCUGUCACACCGAGCGUAGUAGCAUACAUCUCGCUCUGGGCGUGCUGCGGGUUCCGGCCGUUAAACCACCUUCAUAACCCAAGGUUGACCUCGGAUCAGGUAGGAAGACCCGCUGAACUUAAGCAUAUCAAUAAGCGGAGGA